RNAcentral lists this long non-coding RNA (1176 nucleotides) under Lepidothrix coronata (blue-crowned manakin). RNAcentral describes it as "lncRNA (ENSLCOG00000015888.1)". The record is from RNAcentral. Lineage: Eukaryota; Metazoa; Chordata; Aves; Passeriformes; Pipridae.
AUGAAAAAGGCGAACAAGCUUCGAGCGCUUCCCUUCCCCGCGCGAAUGAGGACCUGCGAUGCACAUGCCGGGGCUUUGCUUUGCAUCGUCUGUGGGCGAUGGGAACCGUGUUUGCGAAGGGGGCGGCUCUGCUUUGCUCUUUCAUGUUCACAACCGGAAUCUGUCCGUCCCCGCAUCCCCAGGCAGGGGCGCCAGGGCUCUCCUCCCUCACCCCUCUCUACCCACCCCUCCUUCCUUCCCCCAGCUCUCCCGAACCCAAGGGGGACUGUGCUGCGUUCUGAGGCGGGACAGGGCACAGAGGCUGGCUGGGUCGGGGGAGAGUGGGAUGGGGCACAGGUGAGCUGGAGGAGCCGGUUAAGGACGAGGACAAUCCCCCCCAGGGUUGCCGAGAGACAAGGCGGGACGCAACUGCAGGAUGAAGGAGGGGACGGCGGUGGGGUGGAGCGAGACGCAGCCGGGACGAGGGGCGCUCGGAACGGCGGGACGGGCAGGGAGCACAAAGGAGCCGGUGGCGAGGGAAGAGGGCGACGGGUGGGAGGGGUGCGGGGGCUGAGGGGGGCGGACGGGGAGAGGGCGCGGGCUGAGGGGAGGGGGUCAGCGGGUUACCCCGAGGACUGGGCCUCCCCCCGCCGCAGGGAGGGGGAGUCCCCGCGUCCCGGCCGCCGGUGCAGGGUCCGCGCUCAGCCCCGCCGCCAUCGAGGAGCCGCCGCCAUUCGCCAGCCCGGCAACCAGUGCCGCACCCCGCCCCCGGCCCGCGCCCAAUCGGCCGCCGCCAUGCUGGGCCGGCGGACAGCCGCCCAAUUGGAAACGGCCUCUGAGGCCCAUGGGUCAUGUGAGCGGGCAAGAUGGCGGCGCCCACGAGGAGGGCGUGAGGUAGGCGGAGCCAUGUUGUGGGCGUCGGGAGCGGCCCGACGGGGGCGGCGGAGCCGGGUGUUCCCGGACAGCUCAAGGUCGGAGCUUGAGCUCGGCGGUGUGGCCAGGAGGGUAAGCGCUGUGCGGGGGCGGCGGCUGCACAGGUUUGGGACCCUCCUGAGACGGCCUGGAGUGAUCCCGGUGAGAUCCUGCCCGCUUGUCCUGCUUUCUCCGUUCCUGCAUCCUGCCAAGCCCCAACCGGAACAGGCACAGUCCUAUAGGCAGGACUUACGACUGAGCUUUCACGUCAUAAAAGUAACUUAA